This 523-nucleotide ribosomal RNA is filed under the name uncultured bacterium. RNAcentral describes it as "bacterial SSU rRNA". It matches the Rfam family "Bacterial small subunit ribosomal RNA", at positions 28 to 537 of the family's 1533-position model. The record is from RNAcentral.
GACGAACGCUGGCGGCGUGCCUAACACAUGCAAGUCGAGCGGGGUUGAGGCGAGGAGGUAACUCGAGCUUCUACCUAGCGGCGGACGGGUGAGUAACGCGUGGGCAACCUGCCUCAAGGUUUGGGAUAACAGCCCGAAAGGGCUGCUAAUACCGGAUAUGCCUAUGGCCUCGCAUGGGGCUAUGAGCAAAGGGGAAACCCGCCUUGAGAUGGGCCCGCGUCCCAUCAGCUAGUUGGUGAGGUAACAGCUCACCAAGGCGACGACGGGUAGCCGGCCUGAGAGGGUGACCGGCCACACUGGAACUGAGACACGGCCCAGACUCCUACGGGGGGCAGCAGUGGGGGAUCUUGCACAAUGGGCGAAAGCCUGAUGCAGCGACGCCGCGUGAGCGAAGAAGGCCUGGUUGUAAAGACUCUGUCUGGAGGACGGAACGAAAAUAAGAACGGUAACCGUACCGGACGGAAACGGACCGAACGGCCGAACCUAACGUACGCCACGCAGCCGCGGUAACUACUCGUCUCUA